AGGGUGCUCCGGCACCGAAUAUAGUACACCUUGCUCGGCUACACUAUAGACUUGUGCUUUUUGACUUUCCUACUUGUCUAAUUGUGCUCUAGUUCUUAGGAUUGCACCUACUUCAAGUCCACUAACAGAUCUUCAUAAACUUUGACUCCAAAUCUUCCAUUGAGUUCUCCCAAUCUCAUCAGUGUUUUUGUCACCUACCCAUUCAAUAUAUUGCAAACUGAGACUUGAAAUCAAAGAUUUGAUUUCAUCUAG
This 252-nucleotide unclassified non-coding RNA is filed under the name Hevea brasiliensis (rubber tree). Lineage: Eukaryota; Viridiplantae; Streptophyta; Magnoliopsida; Malpighiales; Euphorbiaceae. The record is from RNAcentral.